AGAGUUUGAUCCUGGCUCAGGAUGAACGCUGGCGGCGUGCUUAACACAUGCAAGUCGAACGAACCUUCGGGUUAGUGGCGGACGGGUGAGUAACGCGUGGGAAUCUGCCCUCAGGAGGGGGAUAACGGCUGGAAACGGCCGCUAAUACCCCAUAUGCCGAGAGGUGAAAUGAAUUUCGCCUGAGGAUGAGCCCGCGUCUGAUUAGCUAGUUGGUGAGGUAAGAGCUCACCAAGGCAUCGAUCAGUAGCUGGUCUGAGAGGAUGAUCAGCCACACUGGGACUGAGACACGGCCCAGACUCCUACGGGAGGCAGCAGUGGGGAAUUUUCCGCAAUGGGCGAAAGCCUGACGGAGCAACGCCGCGUGAGGGAUGAAGGCCUCUGGGCUGUAAACCUCUUUUCUCAAGGAAGAAGAUCUGACGGUACUUGAGGAAUAAGCCACGGCUAAUUCCGUGCCAGCAGCCGCGGUAAUACGGGAGUGGCAAGCGUUAUCCGGAAUUAUUGGGCGUAAAGCGUCCGCAGGCGGCCCUUCAAGUCUGCUGUUAAAAAGUGGAGCUUAACUCCAUCAUGGCAGUGGAAACUGUUGGGCUUGAGUGUGGUAGGGGCAGAGGGAAUUCCCGGU
Molecule: ribosomal RNA, 619 nt
Filed under: uncultured cyanobacterium
Lineage: Bacteria; Bacillati; Cyanobacteriota
Description: bacterial SSU rRNA
Rfam family: Bacterial small subunit ribosomal RNA
Source: RNAcentral